AAUUACAGUCAGUUAGUGGCAGGUACUGAAGCUCACCUUAAUCUGGUUCUUGGUAAUUACAGUCAGUUAAUGGCAGGUACUGAAGCUCACCUUAACCUAGUCCUGGGUAAUUAUUCAGUUAGUGGCAGGUACUGAAGCUCACCUUAACCUGGUCCUAGGUAAUUUCAGUCAGUUAGUGGCAGGUACUGAAGCUCACCUUAACCUGGUCUUAGGUAAUUACAGUCAGUUAGUGGCAGGUACUGAAGCUCACCUUAACCUGGUCCUAGGUAAUUACAGUCAGUUAGUGGCAGGUACUGAAGCUCACCUUAAUCUGGUUCUUGGUAAUUACAGUCAGUUAAUGGCAGGUACUGAAGCUCACCUUAACCUAGUCCUGGGUAAUUAUUCAGUUAGUGGCAGGUACUGAAGCUCACCU
Long non-coding RNA from Haliotis rubra (blacklip abalone), 412 nucleotides. RefSeq lists it as uncharacterized. The record is from RefSeq and is a predicted model, not a curated record. The transcript has 3 exons. NCBI's taxonomy places the organism in Eukaryota, Metazoa, Mollusca, Gastropoda, Lepetellida, Haliotidae.